Molecule: ribosomal RNA, 899 nt
Filed under: uncultured bacterium
Lineage: Bacteria
Description: bacterial SSU rRNA
Rfam family: Bacterial small subunit ribosomal RNA
Source: RNAcentral
UUAGAGUUUGAUCCUGGCUCAGGAUGAACGCUAGCUACAGGCUUAACACAUGCAAGUCGAGGGGCAUCAGGAAGAAAGCUUGCUUUCUUCGCUGGCGACCGGCGCACGGGUGAGUAACACGUAUCCAACCUGCCCUUUACUCGGGGAUAGCCUUUCGAAAGAAAGAUUAAUACCCGAUAGCAUAAUGAUUCCGCAUGGUUUCAUUAUUAAAGGAUUCCGGUAAAGGAUGGGGAUGCGUUCCAUUAGGUUGUUGGUGAGGUAACGGCCCACCAAGCCUUCGAUGGAUAGGGGUUCUGAGAGGAAGGUCCCCCACAUUGGAACUGAGACACGGUCCAAACUCCUACGGGAGGCAGCAGUGAGGAAUAUUGGUCAAUGGGCGCUAGCCUGAACCAGCCAAGUAGCGUGAAGGAUGAAGGCUCUAUGGGUCGUAAACUUCUUUUAUAUAAGAAUAAAGUGCAGUAUGUAUACUGUUUUGUAUGUAUUAUAUGAAUAAGGAUCGGCUAACUCCGUGCCAGCAGCCGCGGUAAUACGGAGGAUCCGAGCGUUAUCCGGAUUUAUUGGGUUUAAGGGGAGCGUAGGCGGAUUGUUAAGUCAGUUGUGAAAGUUUGCGGCUCAACCGUAAAAUUGCAGUUGAUACUGGCAGUCUUGAGUGCAGUAGAGGUGGGCGGAAUUCGUGGUGUAGCGGUGAAAUGCUUAGAUAUCACGAAGAACUCCGAUUGCGAAGGCAGCUCACUGGAGUGUAACUGACGCUGAUGCUCGAAAGUGUGGGUAUCAAACAGGAUUAGAUACCCUGGUAGUCCACACAGUAAACGAUGAGUACUCGCUGUUUGCGAUAUACAGUAAGCGGCCAAGCGAAAGCAUUAAGUAUUCCACCUGGGGAGUACGCCGGCAACGGUGAA